Molecule: unclassified non-coding RNA, 175 nt
Filed under: fungal sp.
Lineage: Eukaryota; Fungi
Description: partial internal transcribed spacer region
Rfam family: Eukaryotic small subunit ribosomal RNA (bases 1-46)
Source: RNAcentral
AAGUCGUAACAAGGUUUCCGUAGGUGAACCUGCGGAAGGAUCAUUAGAAAUGUGCCGCAAGGCCUUAUCUAUUCACACACAACUGUGCACGCCUUCGGGCAUAAACUAUAUAAACAGUAAUGAAUGUAAACAAGUUAAUAUAAUACAACUUUCAACAACGGAUCUCUAGGCUCUC